Molecule: long non-coding RNA, 173 nt
Organism: Eurytemora carolleeae
Lineage: Eukaryota; Metazoa; Arthropoda; Copepoda; Calanoida; Temoridae
Exons: 4
Source: RefSeq, a predicted model, not a curated record
AGGCGUACUGUGAUGAAGUUUUGGAACUUCUCUCCGAACUGGGCAACUGUACUAGAGUGAUCAUCAGACUAUCUUCAGUUCCAGUUAUAAAAGAGAACCCAGGAAGUCGACUCGAAGAUUAUAUGAGAGGACAGAUGAAGAGUACUGAUAUUAUUUAUUACCUGUAUGAAAAA